UACGGAGGGUGCGAGCGUUGUUCGGAAUCACUGGGCGUAAAGGGCGUGUAGGCGGUCCGCUAAGUCUGAUGUGAAAGCCCGGGGCUCACCCCCGGAAGUGCAUUGGAAACUGGCGAACUCGAGUCCCGGAGAGGAGAGUGGAAUUCCUGGUGUAGCGGUGAAAUGCGUAGAUAUCGUAAGGAAGACCAGUGGCGAAGGCGGGUCUCUGGACAGUUCCUGACGCUGAGGCACGAAGGCCAGGGGAGCAAACGGG
This 253-nucleotide ribosomal RNA is filed under the name uncultured bacterium. Its description in RNAcentral is "partial 16S ribosomal RNA". It matches the Rfam family "Bacterial small subunit ribosomal RNA", at positions 524 to 776 of the family's 1533-position model. The record is from RNAcentral.